AAUCAACGCUGGCGGCGUGCCUAACACAUGCAAGUCGAACGAGAAAGUGGAGCAAUCCAUGAGUAAAGUGGCGCACGGGUGAGUAACACGUGACUAACCUACCCUUGAGUGGGGGAUAACUGAGGGAAACCUUAGCUAAUACCGCAUAAUACCUACGGGUCAAAGGAGCAAUUCGCUUAAGGAGGGGGUCGCGGCCGAUUAGUUAGUUGGCGGGGUAAUGGCCCACCAAGACGAUGAUCGGUAUCCGGCCUGAGAGGGCGCACGGACACACUGGAACUGAAACACGGUCCAGACUCCUACGGGAGGCAGCAGUGGGGAAUUUUGCGCAAUGGGGGAAACCCUGACGCAGCAACGCCGCGUGGAGGAUGAAGUCCUUCGGGACGUAAACUCCUUUCGAUCGGGACGAUUAUGACGGUACCGAAAGAAGAAG
This 430-nucleotide ribosomal RNA is filed under the name bacterium Ellin6077. RNAcentral's name for it is "bacterial SSU rRNA". It matches the Rfam family "Bacterial small subunit ribosomal RNA", at positions 32 to 490 of the family's 1533-position model. Lineage: Bacteria; Pseudomonadati; Acidobacteriota; Terriglobia; Terriglobales; Acidobacteriaceae. The record is from RNAcentral.